Molecule: ribosomal RNA, 245 nt
Filed under: uncultured bacterium
Lineage: Bacteria
Description: partial 16S ribosomal RNA
Rfam family: Bacterial small subunit ribosomal RNA
Source: RNAcentral
UACGUAGGGGGCGAGUGUUGUUCGGAAUUACUGGGCAUAAAGGGUGCGUAGGCGGGAAGCCAAGCAAGGCGUGAAAGACCCUGGCUUAACUAGGGAACUGCGCUUUGAACUGGUUUUCUGGAGUGCAGGAUGGGUGAGCAGAAUUCCCGGUGUAGGGGUGAAAUCUAUAGAUAUCGGGAGGAAUACCGGUCGCGAAGGCGGCUCACUGGCCUGUAACUGACGCUGAAGCACGAAAGCGUGGGGAU